UUAAGCUAUAAAGAGCACAGGGCGGAUGCCUAGGCACUGGGAGCCGAAGAAGGACGUGAUAAGCUGCGAAAAGCCGCGGGGAGGAGCAAAUAUCCAUUGAGCCGCGGAUGUCCGAAUGGGGAAACCCACUUGAGCAGACCUCAAGUACCCAUGCGCCAAUCCAUAACGCAUGGGAGGGAACCCGGGGAACUGAAACAUCUAAGUACCCGGAGGAAGAGAAAGAAACAUCGAUUUCCCAAGUAGCGGCGAGCGAACGGGAAAGAGCCCAAACCACGGAAUUUAUUCUGUGGGGUUAGGACUGCAUAAUUGAUUUGCGAUUGAUAGGAGAACGGUCUGGGAAGUCCGGCGAAAAAGCGUGAAAGCCGCGUAUCCGAAAUCGAAAGCAACAUGGCAGGAUCCAGAGUACCACGAGACACGUGAAACCUUGUGGGAAUGAGCGGAGACCACUCCGUAAGGCUAAAUACUACCCAGUGACCGAUAGCGCAUAGUACUGUGAAGGAAAGGUGAAAAGGACCCCGGGAGGGGAGUGAAAGAGAACCUGAAACCCUGUGUUUACAAGCUGUCGGAGCACUAUAUAUGUGCGACGGCGUACUUUUUGUAGAACGGUCCGGCGAGUUAUGGCAUGUGGUAAGGUUAAGUACUUCAGGUACGGAGCCGAAGCGAAAGCGAGUGUGAAAAGCACGUUCUAAUCGCCUGUCAUAUACCCGAAACCGGGUGAUCUAUCCAUGUCCAGGAUGAAGUUGCCGUAAAAGGCAAUGGAGGUCCGAACACACAUCCGUUGAAAAGGGUGGUGAUGAGGUGUGGAUAGGGGAGAAAUUCCAAUCGAACCCGGAGAUAGCUGGUUCUCCUCGAAAUAGCUUUAGGGCUAGCCCAUGACAAGUCUGCCGCAGGUAGAGCACUGAAUUUCCUAGGGGGCGUCAAAGCCUACCGAAGAAUAUCAAACUCCGAAUGGCGGCCAGAUGGUGUCAUGGAGUCAGACUGCACGAGAUAAGUUGGGUGGUCAAAAGGGAAAGAGCCCAGACCCACAGCUAAGGUCCCAAAGUGCGUGUUAAGUGGAAAAGGAUGUGGGAUUUCGAAGACAACUAGGAUGUUGGCUCAGAAGCAGCCACACAUUAAAAGAGUGCGUAAUAGCUCACUAGUCGAGAGGUCCUGCGCCGAAAAUGUCCGGGGCUGAAACACGACACCGAAGCUUGGGAAUCCUACGGGAUUGGUAGAGGAGCAUUGAAGACGGGACGAAGCGUAACCGUAAGGAUACGUGGACUGUCUUGAAGAGAGAAUGCCGGAAUGAGUAGCGAGAAUGAAGUGAGAAUCUUCAUGGCCGAAUAUCUAAGGUUUCCAGGGUAAAGCUGAUCUGCCCUGGGUAAGUCGGGACCUAAGGCGAGGUCGAAAGACGUAGCCGAUGGACAACAGGUUGAAAUUCCUGUACUGCAUUAAAUCAGAACUGUGGGGACACAGAAGGAAGGCAUGAGCCGGAAAAGGAAAAUCCGGUGCAAGCAUGGGAGGGGUAUGACAGGCAAAUCCGUCAUGCAACCCGAGAAUGUGACGCGGAGCGAACAAAAGUAGCGAAGCAUGCUUACCGGCUGUCGAGAAAAGCCGCUAUUGCGUUUAAUGUACCCGUACCGUAAACCGACACAGGUGGAUGAGGAGAGAAUCCUAAGGCCGGCGGGAGAAGCAUUGUUAAGGAACUCGGCAAAAUGACCCCGUAACUUCGGGAGAAGGGGUGCUCUUAGAAAUAAGAGCCGCAGAGAAUUGGCCCAAGCAACUGUUUAGCAAAAACACAGGUCUAUGCAAAACCGAAAGGUGAGGUAUAUGGGCUGACGCCUGCCCGGUGCUGGAAGGUUAAGAGGAGAGGUCAGAGCAAUCGAAGCCUUGAAUUUAAGCCCCAGUAAACGGCGGCCGUAACUAUAACGGUCCUAAGGUAGCGAAAUUCCUUGUCGGGUAAGUUCCGACCCGC
This 1954-nucleotide ribosomal RNA is filed under the name human gut metagenome. RNAcentral's name for it is "bacterial LSU rRNA". It matches the Rfam family "Bacterial large subunit ribosomal RNA", at positions 3 to 1991 of the family's 2925-position model. The record is from RNAcentral.